Molecule: long non-coding RNA, 4793 nt
Filed under: Olea europaea subsp. europaea
Lineage: Eukaryota; Viridiplantae; Streptophyta; Magnoliopsida; Lamiales; Oleaceae
Source: RNAcentral
GGAAUAGAAACCGACACACACAAAAUCCCCAAACUCACUCCUCUCUCUCACUGAAAUCGACCAUCGCCUGGCUGUCGACGAAAUUGGAAGUGAAGGUGGAAUCGCUCGCCGCCCCACCGGCAGAACCUUCGGCGUCAAAGGUCAUAUAUGAUAUCUUAAAGUUUGGUGUUUUAUUUCCAUUUUGUCGAUCCCGUGUUUCUUUAAAUUUAAUUUUUUUUUCCUUUUGUAUGCAGGCAGAAGACGUGAAACGUCCAAAACCUCCAUAGUCCAAAAGUUUGAGAAAUUAACGGAACCUAGACGAAAGUGCGGCGAUGGAGGUCGGAGACGAAACUGAUGUGGUAUACUCUUAUGCACAUACACUAGUAUUGUAUUUCAGUCCAUAGCACUAUUUGAUGAGAUUAUUUUUCUAGUUUGACAAGGUCUUGAAGUUUUGAACUGGUCAUAGGCUAGAAGUGAAAUCAAAUUAUUCUCUAUUGAAUGCAAUUUCAAUAUAACCAAAUUCAAUAACUAAAGAUGAAGGUUAACUAAAGACGUCAUUUCUGAAAACAUAUUGAUAUCUAUUGUUUAGUGAUUAUGAGCCUCGGAGACUAGGUGUUUGUCUGAAUGUGUGUUUGAAGGUUUUGUCGGAUAAGUAACACUGAAGAGCUUUCUAUACUAGCAAUUUUGAUAUGCCCAUCUUUAUUUUUGUUAACAGAUAUGUAGGGAAUUAGGAAGUAGCCAUAUAUAGUUCAAGAUUCUGAAAUUUGAAAUAGAUGUAUUUGCAUCUGGCUUUGAGAUCUGCUCUUUUUAAAGCCUAUUAUAGGUUGAUUCCUAAUAUUAGUUAAAUGAAAAUGCAUGCACUUUGGGACUAUUAGCUUGCCAAUAUUCUCUGUAAACACAACUAAAACUAAGUUAUGUUUCAAUAAAUUUAAUAUUGUCUACAUAAAUCCCUUUUUACCACUCUCUUUCUUUCAUUGUUACAUUUAUUGCUGUUUGACCAUUAAUAACCAAACAAAACUUGUAAAAAAUGUAUUCAAUGGUAACCACCCUAGAAUUCAAAUAUAGUCUUAUAAAUUAUAAUCUUCCAAUCCCAUAUAAUGGUGAAACUUGUGUGGAUGUAAAUUAAUUAACACAUAAUUUAAGUGUUUGUGUCAAUUACCCUUUUGAACUCUUAAUGGGUCAGGGUUUGGUAUAGUUGUAAAUGGUCUCCGCCGUUCAACCGAUUUCAGUUGCCCUUUUUCUCUUCUUUAUAAACUGAUGGCUUGAGUUUAUUAGGAUGUUGAUGUAGGUAAUUAAGUUUGGUAGAAGUGUGCAUUUGGUUUUUUAGGAUUUACGAUUGUACAUUUCGGUUGGGGUGCAAUGGCAGCAUGGGUGGUGCUUAAGGGUAGGGAUGGUCGGCUAUGGAAGGACAAACAUGGGUUUGGGAUAUUGUGUCCUUGGAAAAAGAUGUUUUCUCCUUUGUUGACGUCAAAAUUAGCAAGGAUAAUUUUGAACCAACUUCAAGAAAAAAGGCGAUUUAUUCUUGAAAAAGACCACAAAAAAUGUCCUUAAAGUGUGAUUGUGCCAUGAGUCGUUAUAUGAAUUCAUUUCCCCUUUACAAGAAUCUUAUUCAACUAUUUAUACAUAGUUUCAAUCGAAAUCACAUCAAAUCAGUCAAAUCAGUAACAGUACCGAGCUCGUAACUUGGGUAGCCGAAUUCUCCUAUGAUUGGUCAACGAGACCAGUGGCCAUGUGUCAAUGUUUUCCCCAGAUAAUGAUGGCCUGCAAGGGGCCUAAGGAUUAGUACUUAAGGAUUGGUCAUUUCGGGCGGUGAUGAUAUCAUCUGCGACAAGUGUAUUUGAUUGAUGGGGUGAUGUGUCAGGGUAAUCAUGACGUUUUAGUGAGAUAACGGCAAGAUUUUCCAACCUGGGAGAAGGAACCAAACUCUCAUUUGCUUGAGGUGGGUUUAACGAACUGUUUUAACUUAGAUCAGAGUUCGAUUGUCAACAGUUACCCCCCAGGUCAGCUUUACCGUAGGGAGGCUGACCUCAGUGAUGCUUUCUCCAAGAAGUAUAUUUAUUGCUGUGACAAGUGUCAUCUUUUGAUGAGGAUGAGUUCUACGCCAUUUAUAAAUAGCUUCUUCAGCAAGCUUGGCUAAAACUACGUCGUUUUGUUUCUUAGGCUUUUGAGCCGUUGAUUUUUUCCCUCAAUUUCUGGAUGGACGGUUCAGAUCACACCCUCUCAGCUUCUCUUUCUUUAAAUUCCUUUUUGGCCAGUCAUUUCUCCUCCUAUUUCGCUGGUUUAUUUUCUCAAAUAUUCGGGUAAUCUCCUGAGUUCGUAUUUUCAUAUUUGAGUGAGGUCAUUUUCCCAGUUCAUUUCCCAGGUAUUCUUCUGUUCUUAUCUGCUUCAUCCUUUCAGUUUGUGCUUUGUUUCCUAGUUUAUAUAUGAGUUCGGACGAGUCUAGAGUUCAUUCUUGGGGCAACCAGCAGGAAGAGUCAGUCCCCUUCUCGACGAGUUCGUCUUCUAGUUGUAGGGAAGUUUUUACCCCUGUUCCUAUUUCGAUAAUUAACCUGAUUGACUUAGGGUGUCCUAUCAUGGACUUCGGAUGUGAGGGUUCCAAGGGAGCGGGUAGAUCCAGUAAGGAUGUUGAGGAGAGUAAUUCUGGGAGGUGGGGGGCGAGUUUUAUAGGUCGAUUGUAAAAGGGGAUAUGUUAGCCAACUGGCGAGCUAAAUACGCCAUCCCUAGUUCGGUAGUGAUGAUAAUACCAGACCUAUCUGACCAGGCUGACACUCCUCCUGAGGGAUGUGUUGCUCUGAACUUGGCUAUCCUUCAGGCUAGCCUUAGGCUUCUCUUUCCUAGGGUAAUUCGUAAAUUCCUUUCUUCCUGGGGCAUAACCUCCACACAGCUAUGCCCUAACGGGUGGCGAACCUUAAUAGCCAUCCUUAUUUUGUGGAACCAAAUGGAGAAUCCCGAGCUAAGUGUCCAACAGUUUGAUUCUCUAUUUACUUUUAAGGAGGAUGGGAAGAGCUCGGGUUGGUGGUACACAAGCAUUAGGCCCAGGACAGGAGGUUCUCUGGUGUUAAACACCCCUUCCUCAACUAAGAAAUGGAAGGAAGAGUGGUUCUAUGUAUCAGGGGAGUGGCAGUUUCAUUCUGCCGAGGUGAAUAGGGAGGACGUGGUUCCCAGGCUCUAUCAUUCUUUAUGUAAGUGUUUUUUUGGGCUUUAGUCUUUUAGCAAGGUGUAUGUUGACGAAGUACUGACCUCGGUAUUUUUCCUUUGUGCAGAUUACAAGAAGGAGACGUUAACCAAAGAUACACAGAGACGAUCAGAGGUAAUAAGAUCAUUACCUAAAAAGCAAAGGUCCUGUAAGUUUGUGAUGUCAGAUUCGAACUUAUACCGGGCCGAUUUGUUGCAAGCACGAGCUUCAAGUUCGGCUCCUUUCAGUUCAGGUAAUAUUUUGACCCUCCUUCGCGGUUGUGGUUUCUUUAUGUAUAUAUAUAUUUAUUGAGCGUUUCGCUGUUUUCUCAGCUCAUCAAGAUGAGAUGCGGGGCUACAAGGCAGCAAAGGCAGCGACUGCGGCCAAAGGAAAAAAGAGAGAUGUCCCAGAAUGGUUGGAGAGCCUUUCUGAAGAGGUGGAGGAUGAGGUUCCACUGAAGAGGAACCGAUUUGCAUCCCCGGUAGCACUGAGGAUUCUUGAGGCAGUGCCUUUACCGAGCCUUACUCUGCCGUCUCUUUCUUUGCCUUCCCCAGCUGCACCCUCUGCUGUCGGGACUAGUUCUGUGAACUUGCAGGAUAGGUGCCCAGAUUUAUAGAGGCCGAGCUGGAAAUGUUUGGUGGGACACCGACCAGAGAUAUUUUUAGAUUAUCUCCGAGCUCCUUCUCCUUCCAGGGGGAUGACUGCCGCGCUCACUUCACCAUUGAGGGAGUCGGCCAAUCUGCUUACCCGAAGCUGGGAUGAGAGAGAGCAGGGUUAUCUGAAUGAGAUGCCCAUUGGUGAGGCCUUGGUCACUACUCAGCUCCAUGGUCACCGAUCAAUUUUUUACAUGAUGGCAGUGGCGGAUAAGGUAUACUUCUUACUUUAUGGUUUUUUUUUAGCAACUAUUUUAAUGACUAACUUGAUUUUUGAUUUUUGAAAAUAGGUGAAGUCUGAGCUGGACAAAUUUAUAGAGGCAAAGGAUCAGGCCUUCAGUCUUUAUAACAGCAUGUAGGCUGAAAAGACCCAGUUUGCUCUGAGGGAGAAGGAGUAUGAAGAGAAGCUGAAUCAAAUGGGGAUCGAGUUGAACUCAAGGAUCGAUGUCAAGGAAAGAUUGAUGGGGGAGAUCUGGGUAUUGAGGGCCUCGGAGGAAGAGGCCAGAGCUCGAGCUAAGAAAGAGCGCGACAAAGUCAUGGAGGCCAUCCAGAAGGUACAAGAGGCCACCGAAAGGGCAAGGGAGGCCACCAAAAGGGCUGAAGAGGCUGAGGCCAAGGUUGACAGAGGGGUGGAAGCCUAGAAAGAGUCCUCCGAGUUUGACGUCGUAGCCCAUGAUGUCUAUGUGGUAGCACUGGAGGAGCUGGUGGGGCACAUCAGGAAGGAGAGGCCUGAUAUUGACGUGGCCUUUCUGGAUGAGGUGCUGGAGGGGCAGAAGGAGAAGCUACAGAGGUUGUUUGAGAGUGCUAGAGUCCGGGUAUUACCGGCAACCCAGGAUGUUGAAGAUAGUACCCCAGUCCCCCAAGACCCCUAGGCGGUUAAAAAAAACAUUGUUUUUGGUAUUUAAUUUUGCAAUAUGUUUUUGGCUUAUGAGUGAACUCUUUUUUUUGACAUUUUAUGACAUUUUGUUUGGAAUGGAUAACUGCUU